AUUGAACGCUGGCGGCAGGCCUAACACAUGCAAGUCGAACGGUAACAGGAAGAAGCUUGCUUCUUUGCUGACGAGUGGCGGACGGGUGAGUAAUGUCUGGGAAACUGCCUGAUGGAGGGGGAUAACUACUGGAAACGGUAGCUAAUACCGCAUAACGUCGCAAGACCAAAGAGGGGGACCUUCGGGCCUCUUGCCAUCGGAUGUGCCCAGAUGGGAUUAGCUAGUAGGUGGGGUAACGGCUCACCUAGGGACGAUCCCUAGCUGGUCUGAGAGGAUGACCAGCCACACUGGAACUGAGACACGGUCCAGACUCCUACGGGAGGCAGCAGUGGGGAAUAUUGCACAAUGGGCGCAAGCCUGAUGCAGCCAUGCCGCGUGUAUGAAGAAGGCCUUCGGGUUGUAAAGUACUUUCAGCGGGGAGGAAGGGAGUAAAGUUAAUACCUUUGCUCAUUGACGUUACCCGCAGAAGAAGCACCGGCUAACUCCGUG
This 489-nucleotide ribosomal RNA is filed under the name uncultured bacterium. Its description in RNAcentral is "partial 16S ribosomal RNA". It matches the Rfam family "Bacterial small subunit ribosomal RNA", at positions 30 to 507 of the family's 1533-position model. The record is from RNAcentral.